RNAcentral lists this long non-coding RNA (1491 nucleotides) under Marmota monax (woodchuck). The stretch from base 598 to 667 matches the Rfam family "tRNA". Lineage: Eukaryota; Metazoa; Chordata; Mammalia; Rodentia; Sciuridae. The record is from RNAcentral.
GCUAGUCCAUCUCUAGAAAUGUCAAAUGAAGGCAGGGAUAAGGAAAUUAUUUCAAAGUAAUUAUCUAGUAAAUUUUUUUAACCUUAUAAACCAAGCAUUUAGUAGUAUUUUUGGAAAGUGCUAUUGUGAAACAGGCACAUUGAAAAAUAAAAUAUGGUAUUGCUAAGAGUAAAAGUGUUCUGACUGCUAACACAUUAAGAACUAAAUAAAGUCUUAGUUUUUAUAAGUAAAAUAAUUCAGAUCCUUAUGUUAUUUUUCUUUAUCUUCCUAUGAAUUCAAAUUGCAAUUUAUUUUUAAAAGAAAUAUUGCCAGCCAGGCACAGUGUCACACAUGCCUAUAAUCCCGGCAACUCGGGAGGCUGAGGCAGAAGGAUCCCAAUUCAAGACCAGUUUCAAAAUUAAAAAAGUGCUGAGCAUCUGCACCUCAGAUAGGGUGUUAAUAUCUAGAAUAUACAAAGAAAUAAAAAAUGUAACACCUAAAAAACAAAUAACUCAAUAAAUGAGCAAAGGAACUGAACAGACACUUUUCAAAUGUAUGAAAAAAUGUACAAUAUCUCUAGCAAUUCGAGAAAUGCAAAUUAAAACUACACUGAGGGCUGGGGAUAUAGCUCAGUUGGUAGAGUGCUUGCCUCACAUGCAUAAGGCUCUGGAUUCAAUCCCCAGCACCACAAACAACAACAACAAAACACCUAUACUGAGAUUUCAUCUCGUUCCAUUUAGAAUGGCAAUGAGUUUUUGUUUUUCUUUUUGUAUUAAAUUUAUUCAUUCUUUUUAGUUCUUCUUGAAAGAAGUGUAUAUUUUGGCAUAUUAUACAUACAAGGAGUAUAACUUAUUCUAAUUAGGAUCCUAUUCUUGUGAUUGUACAUGAUGUAGAGUUUUGCUGGUUAUGUGUUUAUAUAUGAACAUAUGAAAAUUAUGUUUGAUUCAUUCUACUGUCUUUCUUAUUCCCAUCCCCCCAUCCCUUCCUUUCCCUUUGUCUAAUCCAAUGAAUUUAUAUUCUUUCCUCCCACUCCCCCUGUUGUGUGUCAGCAUUUACAUAUCAUAGAAUAGAAAUGUUCAAGAAUACAAGUAACAAUGUUGAUAACAUUGUAGGGAAAACAUUACAUAUAUAUUGUUGGUGGGACUGCAAAUUGGUGCAACCACUCUAGAAAGCAGUAUGGAGAUUCCUCAAUACUGGAACAAUCAUUUCACCCAGUUAUCCAAAGUAUUUAAAAUCAGUUUACUACAGGGGGGCUGACUGGAGAAUACAAGUUCAGUGGAUUAGACAAAGGGAAAUGAAGGGAAGGGAUGGAGGAUGGGAAAAGGAAAGGAAAAACAGUGGAAUGAAUCUGAUAUAACUUCCCUAUGUACAUACAUGAAUAUACCACAGUGAAUCUUCAUGUCCAUACACAAGAAAUUAAUUUAAAGAGAAAUCUAUGGGUAAAUGUCAGAAAGAUCAAUAGAGGAAAAGAGGUGUUGGGUCUGAAUUAGAACAAGAUAUAUUCCAUGUUUG